UAAAUUAAUGUGGCACGUCUUUUUGUUUUUUUAAUUUUCUUUUUUUCAUUAUGUCAGCAUAUUAUUUCGUUUUGAUCAAUGCGUUGGAGUUUUGUUUCAUCCAAGGUUAAUUAUGGUGCACGACAUUAUUUACUAUAUGUACCAAUAUUACGCAAGAUCAAAUCAUUCGUCUAUUUUUAAAUGUAUAUUUGAAUAAAUGUACACCUAAUACUUACCUGUAU
RNAcentral lists this long non-coding RNA (221 nucleotides) under Mytilus galloprovincialis (Mediterranean mussel). Lineage: Eukaryota; Metazoa; Mollusca; Bivalvia; Mytilida; Mytilidae. The record is from RNAcentral.